Molecule: ribosomal RNA, 253 nt
Filed under: uncultured bacterium
Lineage: Bacteria
Description: partial 16S ribosomal RNA
Rfam family: Bacterial small subunit ribosomal RNA
Source: RNAcentral
CACGUAGGGGGCAAGCGUUGUCCGGAUUUAUUGGGCGUAAAGAGCUCGUAGGUGGCUGAGUAAGUCGGGUGUUAAAUCCCCAGGCUCAACUGGGGAGGGUCAUUCGAUACUGAUCGACUCGAAGGCAGGAGAGGGUAGUGGAAUUCCCGGUGUAGUGGUGAAAUGCGUAGAUAUCGGGAGGAACACCAGUGGCGAAGGCGGCCUUCUGGGAUGCAUCUGACGCUCAGACACGAAAGCUAGGGGAGCGAACGGG